This 70-nucleotide transfer RNA is filed under the name Heliodoxa aurescens. RNAcentral describes it as "tRNA-Pro". It matches the Rfam family "tRNA". Rfam says of the family: Transfer RNA (tRNA) molecules are approximately 80 nucleotides in length. Their secondary structure includes four short double-helical elements and three loops (D, anti-codon, and T loops). The record is from RNAcentral. Lineage: Eukaryota; Metazoa; Chordata; Aves; Apodiformes; Trochilidae.
CAGAAAAUAGUUUAAUGAAAAAUGCCAGCUUUGGGAGUUGGAGAUAGAGGUUUGAUUCCUUUUUUUCUGA